AACGCGAAGAACCUUACCAGCCCUUGACAUGUCCCGUAUGGGUGGGGGAGACCCCACCCUUCAGUUCGGCUGGCGGGAACACAGGUGCUGCAUGGCUGUCGUCAGCUCGUGUCGUGAGAUGUUGGGUUAAGUCCCGCAACGAGCGCAACCCUUAUCUUCAGUUGCCAGCGGUUAGGCCGGGCACUCUGAAGAAACUGCCGGUGACAAGCCGGAGGAAGGCGGGGAUGAUGUCAAGUCAUCAUGGCCUUUAUGUCCAGGGCUACACACGUGCUACAAUGGACGGUACAAAGCGCUGCAAACCCGCGAGGGGGAGCUAAUCGCAAAAAACCGUUCUCAGUUCGGAUCGCAGGCUGCAACUCGCCUGCGUGAAGCUGGAAUCGCUAGUAAUGCCGGAUCAGAACGCUGGCGUGAAUACGUUCCCGGGCCUUGUACACACCGGCUAC
Molecule: ribosomal RNA, 443 nt
Filed under: uncultured bacterium
Lineage: Bacteria
Description: bacterial SSU rRNA
Rfam family: Bacterial small subunit ribosomal RNA
Source: RNAcentral